GUGCCAGCAGCCGCGGUAAUACGGAGGGUGCAAGCGUUAUCCGGAUUCACUGGGUUUAAAGGGUGCGUAGGCGGAUCUGUAAGUCCGUGGUGAAAUCUCCAGGCUUAACUGGAAACUGCCGUGGAUACUAUAGGUCUUGAAUGUUGUGGAGGUUAGCGGAAUAUGUCAUGUAGCGGUGAAAUGCAUAGAUAUGACAUAGAACACCAAUUGCGAAGGCAGCUGGCUACACAACUAUUGACGCUGAUGCACGAAAGCGU
This 257-nucleotide ribosomal RNA is filed under the name uncultured Chitinophaga sp. RNAcentral describes it as "partial 16S ribosomal RNA". It matches the Rfam family "Bacterial small subunit ribosomal RNA", at positions 505 to 762 of the family's 1533-position model. The record is from RNAcentral. Lineage: Bacteria; Pseudomonadati; Bacteroidota; Chitinophagia; Chitinophagales; Chitinophagaceae.